This is a long non-coding RNA of Corvus hawaiiensis (hawaiian crow), 1961 nucleotides long. RefSeq lists it as uncharacterized. The record is from RefSeq and is a predicted model, not a curated record. The transcript is spliced from 2 exons. Lineage: Eukaryota; Metazoa; Chordata; Aves; Passeriformes; Corvidae.
UUGAGGGGGCCGAAGGGAUGGUGAGAGCUGAGGGGAUCAGAGAAUAUUCUGAAUUGGAAGGGUCCCACAGGGAUUAUCAAAUCCAGCUCCUUAUGUGAAUGGCCCAUAAGGGGAUCAAACCCACGAUCUUGGUGUUGUCAGCACCGUGCUCCAACCAGCCGAGCUGACCCCGGGAUCAUGGAGAGUGCUGAGGGGAUGGCGAGGGAUGAGGGGAUGGUGAGGGAUGAGGUCAUGCUGCCUAGGCCCAUUUCUCAUUAUAAUUCCCUCUCUCUCAGGCCACAGUGUAUUAACCAGUCACUAUCCAAAAUCAGGAGCUAGCCAGGUAAGGUAAGCAGGACGCAGGACUUCAGAGCUGAAACUUUCUUAACAAAAUGACCGGGAUGAAUUAACCUGAGUACAAGCAAAUCCUUUACAUUUUGGAAUAGGUAUAUAAUCCCAUUAGCCUUUUCUCUGUAAAUUUAAUUGCUGCUUCAAAGUCUUGCAUGGUUAUUGAGCCUUACCUUAUCAGACAGGAAUCUGUUCAAGAGAUACCAGGUUCCAGAGCCUCAUGACAGCCACCAGCAUCUGUGAACUCUGAAUCACCUGCGCGAUAGUGGCUCUCAGGCUGAAAAACAUAUCAGUGGAACUGCUGAAGGAGAACUUGGAAGGUGCUGCUCCAUAACUGAGUAAAAUACAGAUGGUUUCUCAGCAAGAAUCUUAUAGAAGGAAGGAAUGAAAGAAGGAAGGGAAGGAUCACUAAUCCCAAAAAGCCAGAUGAGGUCAGUGUUACCAGCAGAAGCCACACAGCACGAUGCUGGUAGCCUCAAGUGCACCUGAAUGCUCAAACCAUCUGCGCCCCAUGUCCCAACCCCUCCCUCCCAGAGAGGAGCAGCAGAAAGAAAUGAAACAACUGCAGCUGAGGAGGGCGAGGAGUUCAGGAAGGCUCUAAUCUCAUGAACUCGCUGGAGGGGGGAAUGGGGUGAGAAGAGCUUGUUCUUCCUUGCUGAGAAAUAGGUUUGUCACAAGCAAACUUCGUCAAAGUGCCUGAGCACUGCUGUGUUUCUGCUGAUGUGGCAUGUAGUGGUGCUUGAUGGACUUUUGGAUGACCCCAAAUUUUAGGAGCCUGGGUAUCUCUCAGUUGCAUAAGUUGGUAUCAAAGUGCAAGAAUGUCUGGAAGUAGGCUGGUGAAUGGCAAGACUCAUCUUUCAAAAGAGAAUUUUCUUUUGCAUUUCACAUGACUCUUUGUCAGCAAGUUCAUGCUGUUAAAAAGAUCUGGGAAAGUGGAAAACAGACUUGCCACUAUUAGAAUAGUUUAGAAGCUUCAAAUUUGCUGUGUCAGUUCCCAUGUCCAAAAUGGAAAUGUCUUAAAGUUUCUUGAUUCUUAAUUAUUAGAAGAAUAUAAAAACACCUUGCAUGUGUUGCAUAUUGGAAGUUGGAACAGACACCAAGAGGGACAACUACAUGCCUAAACAUGAAAAGUUUAAACUAGUUGGGAUGAAUCUGUGCUCCAUGUCUGUCUGCUCUGUGUUUUGGCAGUGGGUAGGGGUGACUUCUCUGUGUCUUUUGUCUUUUGUGCUGGAAGGCUCCGCUUUGUCUCUGGUGUCACGAGUGAUGCUCCCUGGCUGGCAUGUGCCGUGUGCUUAUCUGAAUUGCCCACAGCUCGUUAAUGCUCCUCGGGCUAAUUACUGCCUCAUUAAUCACUUGCAAUCCGUUUAUGUACUCACGCUGUUUUCCUGCUUUUAGUGUGUUUGCAUUAGAAAAUGUGUUUCUAUGAAAUGCCGUGUAUGGAAUGGUUUAUAGCAGGAAAUAGAUAUAAAAGAGCAGUUCUGUCGUUCCAAGUAAAAUCCUCACGUGCCAGAGACCAAACAUCCCAGAAGAUACUGGGGAUACUCCUGUGAGCUUCUCCCUGUGCUGAGCUGUGCUUCAGGCUGUCCUGACUCUGGACCAGAGGAACAUAAAAAUAAUAUACAACUUAAAAACCA